This is a non-coding RNA of Malus domestica (apple), 725 nucleotides long. Lineage: Eukaryota; Viridiplantae; Streptophyta; Magnoliopsida; Rosales; Rosaceae. The record is from RefSeq and is a predicted model, not a curated record.
UUCAUCAAAAAUCCUAGUUAAUUGGGCCUUAAUUCGUGAUGAACUCCCCGACGGGUUCUUGAGGUGCAUGGCGGUGAUUUGCCAUUCCCGAAGCCAACUCCAUCAAUUACCACCACCAAUAGGCUCCCCUCAACCUUAGGAACAAAGCCCAAGCAGUGGUGGAGGCGUCGGAGCGAGUAUGGAGAUCGAAUCGAAGCAUACCCAAUUCUAGGGUUCCGGCGGUUCGUGGGCGAUUUCAGUUGUUUCCCAGACGAAUUGGACUUUGGCCCAGGAGUUAGAAUUGAGGCAUUCGAUCCCAACGUCAAACCAUUUCCGCAUAGUCAUCACGGUCCACAAAAUAAAGACUCUGGGAAAGUAGGACUGUAAGAACAUUUCAUGCACCAAAUGGUCAAUCAUCUCGGUCAAAUGGAAUUCGUGAAAAAUCAUUUUGAGCUGAAGAAAUUGCAUGUUGGGCAUCACUGAAAGAUAGGGUUCUUUCUGUCGUUUAUCCACUGCUCAUCACAAUCAGAGGGGGACCAUAUUUAACGUCUCCACCAUACUGUACGGAAAGGGAAUGGUUGGGGUGGCAGCUUUCAAGUGCUGCAGUACCAGCCACCCAACUCCAAAGGGGUUAUUCAUGAAGGUUUUUCAAUUAUAUAUAAUAAGAACAUUGGAAUUACAGGUUAGUGUCGAGAAGCAAUGUACUUGAAUGGCUGGCCACUUUCUCGAAUCUAGCUAGUGGAUGG